This is a non-coding RNA of Hordeum vulgare subsp. vulgare (domesticated barley), 135 nucleotides long. The record is from Rfam. NCBI's taxonomy places the organism in Eukaryota, Viridiplantae, Streptophyta, Magnoliopsida, Poales, Poaceae.
GUCAUAGUCCCUCCAUCCCAAAAUUCUUGCCUUAGGUUUGUCUAAAAUGAAUGUACCUAAAUACUAAAACAUGACUAGAUACAUUUAUAUUUAGACAAAUUUAAGACAAGAAUUUUGGGACGGAGGGAGUACUUG